CCUACGGGAGGCAGCAGUCGAGAAUCAUUCACAAUGGGGGAAACCCUGAUGGUGCGACGCCGCGUGGGGGAAUGAAGGUCUUCGGAUUGUAAACCCCUGUCAUGUGGGAGCAAAUUAAAAAGAUAGUACCACAAGAGGAAGAGACGGCUAACUCUGUGCCAGCAGCCGCGGUAAUACAGAGGUCUCAAGCGUUGUUCGGAAUCACUGGGCGUAAAGCGUGCGUAGGCUGUUUCGUAAGUCGUGUGUGAAAGGGGCGGGCUCAACCCGCGGAUGGCACAGGAUACUGCGAGACUAGAGUAAGGGAGGGGGAGCCGGAAUGCGCGGUGUAGCAGUGAAAUGCGUAGAUAUCGGGAGGAACACUCGUGGCGAAGGCGGGUUACUGGACAUUAACUGACGCUGAGGCACGAAGGCCAGGGGAGCGAAAGGGAUUAGAUACCCUUGUAGUC
This 446-nucleotide ribosomal RNA is filed under the name uncultured bacterium. RNAcentral describes it as "partial 16S ribosomal RNA". It matches the Rfam family "Bacterial small subunit ribosomal RNA", at positions 338 to 795 of the family's 1533-position model. The record is from RNAcentral.